Molecule: ribosomal RNA, 433 nt
Filed under: uncultured bacterium
Lineage: Bacteria
Description: partial 16S ribosomal RNA
Rfam family: Bacterial small subunit ribosomal RNA
Source: RNAcentral
AACGAACGCUGGCGGCAUGCCUAACACAUGCAAGUCGAACGAGACCUUCGGGUCUGGUGGUGGACGGGGGCGUAACGCGUGGGAACCCGCCCGUAGGCUCGGACUACCUCAGAGAAAUUUGAGCUAAUACCGGAUAAUGACUUCGGACCAAAGGGUUAUCGCCUUUGGAUGGGUUCGCGUAGGGUUGGCUUGUUGGUGGGGUAAUGGCCUACCGAGGCGACGUUCCUUAGCUGGUCUGAGAGGAUGAUCCGCCACACUGGGACUGCGACACGGCCCAGACUGCUACGGUAGGCAGCAGUGGGGAAUCUUGGACAAUCGGCGAAAGCCUAGGCCAGCAAUGCCGCGUGAUUUAUGCAGCCCUUAGGGUUGUAUAGCUCUUUUACCAUGGAUGAUAAUGACGGUACCUGGAGAAUAAGCUCCGGCUAACUCCGUG